This 353-nucleotide ribosomal RNA is filed under the name uncultured bacterium. RNAcentral's name for it is "bacterial SSU rRNA". It matches the Rfam family "Bacterial small subunit ribosomal RNA", at positions 1 to 334 of the family's 1533-position model. The record is from RNAcentral.
CUAUGCGCCUUGCCAGCCCGCUCAGUCAGAGUUUGAUCCUGGCUCAGGAUCAACGCUGGCGGCGUGCCUAAUGCAUGCAAGUCGCACGGGGUGGCCUUCGGGUCACUUACGUGGCGGACGGGUGAGGAACACGUGGGCAACCUGCCCGGUGGUGGGGGCUAGCCUUCGGAAACGGAGGGUAAUUCCGCAUAAGCUGGUCACUCGCGUGGGAGUGGUCAGGAAAGGUCUUCGGACCGCCGCCGGAGGGGUCUGCGUCCGAUUAGUUAGUUGGUGGGGUAACGGCUCACCAAGGCGAUGAUCGGUAGCUGGUUUGAGAGGAUGAUCAGCCACACGGGGACUGAGACACGGCCCCG